RNAcentral lists this ribosomal RNA (550 nucleotides) under uncultured bacterium. RNAcentral's name for it is "bacterial SSU rRNA". It matches the Rfam family "Bacterial small subunit ribosomal RNA", at positions 355 to 896 of the family's 1533-position model. The record is from RNAcentral.
UGGGGAAUCUUGGACAAUGGGCGCAAGCCUGAUCCAGCAAUGCCGCGUGUGCGAAGAAGGCCUGCGGGUUGUAAAGCACUUUAGGUGGGGAAGAAAUGCCUGGGGUGAAGAGCUCUAGGUUUUGACGUUACCCAUGGAAUAAGCACCGGCUAACUCCGUGCCAGCAGCCGCGGUAAUACGGAGGGUGCGAGCGUUAAUCGGAAUUACUGGGCGUAAAGCGCGCGUAGGCGGUUAAGUAAGUCAGCUGUGAAAGCCCUGGGCUCAACCUGGGAAUGGCAGUUGUUACUGUUCAACUGGAGUGCGAUAGAGGACAGUGGAAUUCCCGGUGUAGCGGUGAAAUUCGUAGAUAUCGGGAGGAACACCAGUGGCGAAGGCGGCUCUCUGGUCCGAUACUGACGCUGAGACGCGAAAGCGUGGGGAGCAAACAGGAUUAGAUACCCUGGUAGUCCACGCCGUAAACGAUGGGCACUAGGUGUAGGAGGUAUUGACCCCUUCUGUGCCGAAGCUAACGCAUUAAGUGCCCCGCCUGGGGAGUACGGCCGCAAGGCUA